RNAcentral lists this ribosomal RNA (253 nucleotides) under uncultured bacterium. Its description in RNAcentral is "partial 16S ribosomal RNA". It matches the Rfam family "Bacterial small subunit ribosomal RNA", at positions 524 to 776 of the family's 1533-position model. The record is from RNAcentral.
UACGUAGGGUGCAAGCGUUGUCCGGAAUUAUUGGGCGUAAAGAGCUCGUAGGCGGUCUGUCGCGUCGGCUGUGAAAUCCCGAGGCUCAACCUCGGGUCUGCAGUCGAUACGGGCAAACUGGAGUGUUGCAGGGGAGACUGGAAUUCCUGGUGUAGCGGUGAAAUGCGUAGAUAUCGAGAGGAACACCUGCGGCGAAGGCGGGUUGCUGGGCCGACACUGACGCUGAGGCGCGAAAGCUAGGGGAGCGAACGGG